This 107-nucleotide ribosomal RNA is filed under the name Aggregatibacter actinomycetemcomitans. RNAcentral describes it as "partial 16S ribosomal RNA". It matches the Rfam family "Bacterial small subunit ribosomal RNA", at positions 1 to 105 of the family's 1533-position model. The record is from RNAcentral. Lineage: Bacteria; Pseudomonadati; Pseudomonadota; Gammaproteobacteria; Pasteurellales; Pasteurellaceae.
UUGAAUUGAAGAGUUUGAUCAUGGCUCAGAUUGAACGCUGGCGGCAGGCUUAACACAUGCAAGUCGGACGGUAGCAGGAGAAAGCUUGCUUUCUUGCUGACGAGUGG